GACGAACGCUGGCGGCGUGCUUAACACAUGCAAGUCGAACGAUGAACCACUUCGGUGGGGAUUAGUGGCGAACGGGUGAGUAACACGUGGGCAAUCUGCCCUUCACUCUGGGACAAGCCCUGGAAACGGGGUCUAAUACCGGAUAACACUGCCACGGGCAUCUGUGGUAGGUUAAAAGCUCCGGCGGCGAAGGAUGAGCCCGCGGCCUAUCAGCUUGUUGGUGAGGUAAUGGCNCACCAAGGCGACGACGGGUAGCCGGCCUGAGAGGGCGACCGGCCACACUGGGACUGAGACACGGCCCAGACUCCUACGGGAGGCAGCAGUGGGGAAUAUUGCACAAUGGGCGAAAGCCUGAUGCAGCGACGCCGCGUGAGGGAUGACGGCCU
Molecule: ribosomal RNA, 386 nt
Filed under: uncultured bacterium
Lineage: Bacteria
Description: bacterial SSU rRNA
Rfam family: Bacterial small subunit ribosomal RNA
Source: RNAcentral